UAAACAGAGAUAGUACAAACACAAAACUAUCCGCCAGAGAACUACAAGCGAAAAGCUCAAAACUCCAAGGACUUGGCGGUGCUUCAUAUCAACCUAGAGGAGCCUGUCCUAUAAUCGAUACCCCACGCUAAACCUUACCGCUCCUGGCCAACCAGCCUAUAUACCGCCGUCGUCAGCCUACCUCAUGAGAGAAAUAAAGUGAGCAAAAAAGUUAAUAACUAACACGUCAGGUCAAGGUGUAGCACAUGAAGCGGCAGAGAUGGGCUACAUUUUUUCAAAGAUAAAAUACGAACAGUGAACUGAAACACACACUUGAAGGAGGAUUUAGUAGUAAGACCGAGAAUACUACCCGUCUAAAACCUGCUCUGAAGCGCGCACACACCGCCCGU
RNAcentral lists this ribosomal RNA (389 nucleotides) under Eremiascincus richardsonii. Its description in RNAcentral is "partial 12S ribosomal RNA". It matches the Rfam family "Bacterial small subunit ribosomal RNA", at positions 839 to 1397 of the family's 1533-position model. The record is from RNAcentral. Lineage: Eukaryota; Metazoa; Chordata; Lepidosauria; Squamata; Scincidae.